UGGGGAAUAUUGCACAACGGAGGGAACUCUGAUGCAGCGACGCCGCGUGAACGAAGAAGGCUUUCGAGCCGUAAAGUUCUUUUAUAGGGGAAGAUAAUUACGGUACCAUAAGAAAAAGCCCCGGCUAACUACGUGCUAGCAGCCGCGGUAAUACGUAGGGGGCUAGCGUCGUCCGGAAUCACUGGGCGUAAAGGGUUCGCAGGCGGAAUAACAAGUCAGAUGUAAAAGGCAUGGGCUCAAGCCAUGUAGGCGUUUGAAACUGUAAUUCUUGAGAGGAGGAGAGGUAAGUGGAAUUCCUAGUGUAGCGGUGAAAUGCGUAGAUAUUAGGAGGAAUACCUGUGGCGAAGGCGACUUACUGGACAGAAAUCUAACGCUGGGGAACGAAAGCGUGGGUAGCAAACAGA
RNAcentral lists this ribosomal RNA (404 nucleotides) under Verrucomicrobiota bacterium. RNAcentral describes it as "Verrucomicrobia bacterium partial 16S ribosomal RNA". It matches the Rfam family "Bacterial small subunit ribosomal RNA", at positions 355 to 776 of the family's 1533-position model. The record is from RNAcentral. Lineage: Bacteria; Pseudomonadati; Verrucomicrobiota.